Molecule: unclassified non-coding RNA, 332 nt
Filed under: soil metagenome
Description: partial contains 5.8S ribosomal RNA, internal transcribed spacer 2, and large subunit ribosomal RNA
Rfam family: 5.8S ribosomal RNA (bases 1-120)
Source: RNAcentral
GAUGAAGAACGUAGCAAAAUGCGAUAAGUAAUGUGAAUUGCAGAAUUCAGUGAAUCAUCGAAUCUUUGAACGCACAUUGCGCCCGCCAGUAUUCUGGCGGGCAUGCCUGUUCGAGCGUCAUUUCAACCCUCAAGCACAGCUUGGUGUUGGGACUCGCGUUAAUUCGCGUUCCCCAAAUUGAUUGGCGGUCACGUCGAGCUUCCAUAGCGUAGUAGUAAAACCCUCGUUACUGGUAAUCGUCGCGGCCACGUCGUUAAACCCCAACUUCUGAAUGUUGACCUCGGAUCAGGUAGGAAUACCCGCUGAACUUAAGCAUAUCAAUAAGCGGAGGA